GCUUGCACCACCUGAUUAGUGGCGAACGGGUGAGUAACACGUGAGUAACCUGCCCCCCACUUCGGGAUAACCUCGGGAAAUCGUGGCUAAUACCGGAUAUGAGCACUCAUCGCAUGGUGGGUGUUGGAAAGAUUUAUCGGUGGGGGAUGGACUCGCGGCCUAUCAGUUUGUUGGUGAGGUGAUGGCUCACCAAGACGAUGACGGGUAGCCGGCCUGAGAGGGCGACCGGCCACACUGGGACUGAGACACGGCCCAGACUCCUACGGGAGGCAGCAGUGGGGAAUAUUGCACAAUGGGCGAAAGCCUGAUGCAGCGACGCCGCGUGGGGGAUGACGGCCUUCGGGUUGUAAACCCCUUUCAGUAGGGAAGAAGCGAGAGUGACGGUACCUGCAGAAGAAGCGCCGGCUAACUACGUGCCAGCAGCCGCGGUAAUACGUAGGGCGCAAGCGUUGUCCGGAAUUAUUGGGCGUAAAGAGCUUGUAGGUGGCUUGUCGCGUCUGCCGUG
Molecule: ribosomal RNA, 505 nt
Filed under: Brachybacterium sp. LCK-2009.28
Lineage: Bacteria; Bacillati; Actinomycetota; Actinomycetes; Micrococcales; Dermabacteraceae
Description: bacterial SSU rRNA
Rfam family: Bacterial small subunit ribosomal RNA
Source: RNAcentral